GGAGUUGUGGCUCAGUGGUAGAGCACUUGCCUGGCAUGUGUGAGGCCCUGGGUUUAAUCCGCAGCACCG
Molecule: transfer RNA, 69 nt
Filed under: Ictidomys tridecemlineatus (thirteen-lined ground squirrel)
Lineage: Eukaryota; Metazoa; Chordata; Mammalia; Rodentia; Sciuridae
Description: Spermophilus tridecemlineatus (thirteen-lined ground squirrel) tRNA
Rfam family: tRNA
About the family: Transfer RNA (tRNA) molecules are approximately 80 nucleotides in length.
Source: Rfam by way of RNAcentral